GACGAACGCUGGCGGCGUGCUUAACACAUGCAAGUCGAACGGAAAGACCCUGCUUUUGUGGGGUGCUCGAGUGGCGAACGGGUGAGUAACACGUGAGUAACCUGCCCUUGACUUUGGGAUAACUUCAGGAAACUGGGGCUAAUACCGGAUAGGAGCUCCUGCUGCAUGGUGGGGGUUGGAAAGUUUCGGCGGUUGGGGAUGGACUCGCGGCUUAUCAGCUGUUGGUGGGGUAGUGGCUUACCAAGGCUUUGACGGGUAGCCGGCCUGAGAGGGUGACCGGCCACAUUGGGACUGAGAUACGGCCCAGACUCCUACGGGAGGCAGCAGUGGGGAAUAUUGCACAAUGGGCGGAAGCCUGAUGCAGCAACGCCGCGUGCGGGAUGACGGCCUUCGGGUUGUAAACCGCUUUCGCCUGUGACGAAGCGUGAGUGACGGUAAUGGGUAAAGAAGCACCGGCUAACUACGUG
RNAcentral lists this ribosomal RNA (467 nucleotides) under uncultured bacterium. RNAcentral describes it as "partial 16S ribosomal RNA". It matches the Rfam family "Bacterial small subunit ribosomal RNA", at positions 28 to 507 of the family's 1533-position model. The record is from RNAcentral.